CCUACGGGAGGCUGCAGUGGGGAAUAUUGCGCAAUGGGCGAAAGCCUGACGCAGCGACGCCGCGUGAGGGAUGAAGGUCUUCUGAUCGUAAACCUCUGUCAGCAGGGAAGAACGGUCACUGUGCUAAUCAGCAUUGAAUUGACGGUAUCUGCAAAGGAAGCAUCGGCUAACUCCGUGCCAGCAGCCGCGGUAAUACGGAGGGUGCUAGCGUUAAUCGGAAUUACUGGGCGUAAAGCGCUCGUAGGCGGUAUGUCAAGUCAAGGGUGAAAUCCCCGGGCUCAACGUGUGAACUGCCUUUGAAACUGGCAAACGUGAGUGUGUGAGAGGAUAGUGGAAUUCGAGGUGUAGGAGUGAAAU
This 357-nucleotide ribosomal RNA is filed under the name uncultured bacterium. RNAcentral's name for it is "partial 16S ribosomal RNA". It matches the Rfam family "Bacterial small subunit ribosomal RNA", at positions 338 to 687 of the family's 1533-position model. The record is from RNAcentral.